This 253-nucleotide ribosomal RNA is filed under the name uncultured bacterium. RNAcentral's name for it is "partial 16S ribosomal RNA". It matches the Rfam family "Bacterial small subunit ribosomal RNA", at positions 524 to 776 of the family's 1533-position model. The record is from RNAcentral.
UACGGAGGGUGCAAACGUUGCUCGGAAUUAUUGGGCGUAAAGCGCACGUAGGCGGAUCGCUAAGUCGGAUGUGAAAGCCCUCGGCUUAACCGAGGAAGUGCAUUCGAAACUGGCGACCUUGAGUAUGGAAGAGGGUCGCGGAAUUCCCGGUGUAGAGGUGAAAUUCGUAGAUAUCGGGAGGAACACCAGUGGCGAAGGCGGCGACCUGGGCCAAUACUGACGCUGAGGUGCGAAAGCGUGGGGAGCAAACAGG